Molecule: long non-coding RNA, 662 nt
Organism: Gymnodraco acuticeps
Lineage: Eukaryota; Metazoa; Chordata; Actinopteri; Perciformes; Bathydraconidae
Exons: 3
Source: RefSeq, a predicted model, not a curated record
UUUAGAUUUCCCAGUCUUCAGCAUAUUUUACCGGUCAUAGUCCGGUAAUUACCGGCCAACGGGAACUCUGCUCCUAUGACUGGUUGCAGAAUUGAAGGGAACGACUUCCUGGCCUUCCUGACAUCCAGGAAAAAGGUGAGAUUCUAAUCCAUUUCAAUGCCAAAAGCAAGUUAUUGUUUUUAACUUUUUUAAUAUGAUUUUGUUGGGGAAUUUCUGUUUUAUUGGACGGUAGAGAUCUACUGGAAACAGUGGAGAUGAUAUGCAGCAAAAGGCCCAGACGGAUGGUUGCUGCUCCGUGUGGAACGUGUUCUAUCAGGUGUAACAUCUACCAAUGAUUGUACAUGACAUAUACCUCCUCCACCUCUUUGCUGUCCUACUAGUCAACCCUUCUGAUCAGAGCCUUUCCUAAAUAGUGAAAGGAUCAUGCCAGCCCACAUCAAACACCUGAUCAAGAACUUGUGAAUCUUCAGGCAGAAAAGAUCAACCGAUAUGGCUUUUUCAAGGCCGAUACCGAUUAUUAGUAAUCAAGGAGACCAAUAACCGAUAUUUGGAACCGAUAUACAUUUGCAGUAAAAUCAGAAUAUCUUGGUGUCAAAAUGUAGAAUAACACAAACUCCAACACAACUCAACACAACUUCUUUGAAAUGCAUUUAAGCAUAUAU